CUAGCCGUAAACGAUGGGUACUAGGUGUGGGUGGUUUCGAUACCAUCCGUGCCGUAGUUAACGCAUUAAGUACCCCGCCUGGGGAGUACGUGCGCAAGCAUGAAACUCAAAGGAAUUGACGGGGGCCCGCACAAGCGGUGGAGCAUGUGGUUUAAUUCGAAGCAACGCGAAGAACCUUACCAGGUCUUGACAUCCCUUGAAAACCUCAGAGAUGAGGCCUCUCUUCGGAGCAAGGAGACAGGUGG
Molecule: ribosomal RNA, 245 nt
Filed under: uncultured Bacillota bacterium
Lineage: Bacteria; Bacillati; Bacillota
Description: uncultured Firmicutes bacterium partial 16S ribosomal RNA
Rfam family: Bacterial small subunit ribosomal RNA
Source: RNAcentral